UGGGGAAUUUUGGACGAAUUGGGCGAAAGCCUGAAUCCAGCAAUGCCGCGUGUGUGAAGAAGGCCUUCGGGUUGUAAAGCACUUUUGUCCGGAAAGAAAUCCUUGGCUCUAAUACAGUCGGGGGAUACGGUACCGGAAGAAUAAGCACCGGCUAACUACGUGCCAGCAGCCGCGGUAAUACGUAGGGUGCAAGCGUUAAUCGGAAUUACUGGGCGUAAAGCGUGCGCAGGCGGUUUGCUAAGACCGAUGUGAAAAUCCCCGGGCUAACCUGGGAACUGCAUUGGUGACUGGCAGGCUAGAGUAUGGCANAGGGGGGUAGAAUUCCACGUGUAGCAGUGAAAUGCAUAGAGAUGUGGAGGAAUACCGAUGGCGAAGGCAGCCCCCUGGGCCAAGUACUGACGCUCAUGCACGAAA
RNAcentral lists this ribosomal RNA (414 nucleotides) under uncultured bacterium. RNAcentral describes it as "partial 16S ribosomal RNA". It matches the Rfam family "Bacterial small subunit ribosomal RNA", at positions 355 to 758 of the family's 1533-position model. The record is from RNAcentral.